RNAcentral lists this ribosomal RNA (301 nucleotides) under uncultured bacterium. Its description in RNAcentral is "partial 16S ribosomal RNA". It matches the Rfam family "Bacterial small subunit ribosomal RNA", at positions 509 to 807 of the family's 1533-position model. The record is from RNAcentral.
CAGUAGCCGCGGUAAUACGUAGGUGGCAAGCGCUGUCCGGAAUUAUUGGGCGUAAAGGGCUCGCAGGCGGUUUCUUAAGUCUGAUGUGAAAGCCCCCGGCUCAACCGGGGAGGGUCAUUGGAAACUGGGAAACUUGAGUGCAGAAGAGGAGAGUGGAAUUCCACGUGUAGCGGUGAAAUGCGUAGAGAUGUGGAGGAACACCAGUGGCGAAGGCGACUCUCUGGUCUGUAACUGACGCUGAGGAGCGAAAGCGUGGGGAGCGAACAGGAUUAGAUACCCCGGUAGUCCCUGUCUCUUAUAC